UCCAGCAAAGGGGAUGGAGUCCCCCUUGAACCGCGACAGCCGCUGAUGACUCCUGCUGCCCG
RNAcentral lists this non-coding RNA (62 nucleotides) under Desulfovibrionaceae bacterium. RNAcentral's name for it is "Fluoride sequence". It matches the Rfam family "Fluoride riboswitch aptamer (crcB RNA motif)". Lineage: Bacteria; Pseudomonadati; Thermodesulfobacteriota; Desulfovibrionia; Desulfovibrionales; Desulfovibrionaceae. The record is from RNAcentral.